UGGACUUCAACCUUACAUUCAUGACAUAGUGUCAGUUCUUGAGUUGGGCACUUAUCGAGAAGUCCUGAAGCGAGCCCAGACUAUUUCUUACCAAAGAACUCAAAGCGUUGGAAAUCCUUACCAAGUUCAAAACUUUUCAGGUAAGAGGAAGUGGAAUUUUGAGAGACAGAAUACCGGUAAAGGAAAAGGGAAUAAUGUAUCAAAGAAAGGAAGAACGGAUAUAGCAGGAGUUAGUGGUGAAAGGCGUUGUCCUAAGUGUGAUAGACUUCACAAAGGAGAAUGUUUAUUGGGUAAAAAUGUUUGUUUCAAAUGUGGGAAAUCAGGACAUUUCGUUAAAGAAUGUCCUCAGAAUCAGGCACAGAAGGCUGGAGAUGAUAAGAAAGGAAAAGCAAGAGUUUUC
This 400-nucleotide long non-coding RNA is filed under the name Olea europaea (common olive). RNAcentral's name for it is "long non-coding RNA (OEUR_LNC002446)". The record is from RNAcentral. Lineage: Eukaryota; Viridiplantae; Streptophyta; Magnoliopsida; Lamiales; Oleaceae.